RNAcentral lists this long non-coding RNA (316 nucleotides) under Gossypium barbadense (sea-island cotton). RNAcentral describes it as "long non-coding RNA (GBAR_LNC020539)". The record is from RNAcentral. Lineage: Eukaryota; Viridiplantae; Streptophyta; Magnoliopsida; Malvales; Malvaceae.
UCUUCUUCUGUUACUUCCACCACCGCCACUGCUUCUCCUUCCUCCAUGAUAUACUCGUUUUCGGAUUCUGAUCAUCAAAACGAGAGAAGUUGUUCCAAAAAUAGUGAUAAUGAGAAGAAGAAAAGGCAAAGGAGUAGUGAUAUUGGUGAAGGCAAGAAGCAUCCGACAUACCGUGGAGUACGCAUGAGAAGUUGGGGCAAAUGGGUGUCUGAAAUCCGAGAACCAAGGAAGAAAUCAAGAAUAUGGCUUGGAACAUACCACACAGCUGAAAUGGCUGCUCGAGCCCAUGAUGUAGCUGCACUCGCCAUCAAAGGCC